Molecule: small RNA, 224 nt
Filed under: Gorilla gorilla gorilla (western lowland gorilla)
Lineage: Eukaryota; Metazoa; Chordata; Mammalia; Primates; Hominidae
Description: Metazoan signal recognition particle RNA (ENSGGOG00000039485.1)
Rfam family: Metazoan signal recognition particle RNA (bases 45-202)
About the family: The signal recognition particle (SRP) is a universally conserved ribonucleoprotein. It is involved in the co-translational targeting of proteins to membranes. The eukaryotic SRP consists of a 300-nucleotide 7S RNA and six proteins: SRPs 72, 68, 54, 19, 14, and 9.
Source: RNAcentral
AGGAUUGAGGAGUUGGAAGAGACCUUUAGAACAGCUAGUCAUUAUGCCGACCGGGUGUCUGCACUAAGUUUGGUAUCAAUAUGGUGACCUUCUGGGGAGCAGGGGGCCACCAGGUUGCCUAAGGAUGGGUGAACUGGCCCAGAUCAGAAAGGGAGCAGGUCAGAACUCCCACACUGACUGGUAGUGGGACUGUGCCUGGGAAAUAUAACAAGAUCUUGGUUCUU